RNAcentral lists this ribosomal RNA (499 nucleotides) under uncultured Glomus. RNAcentral describes it as "SSU rRNA". It matches the Rfam family "Eukaryotic small subunit ribosomal RNA", at positions 591 to 1092 of the family's 1831-position model. The record is from RNAcentral. Lineage: Eukaryota; Fungi; Glomeromycota; Glomeromycetes; Glomerales; Glomeraceae.
CCAAUAGCGUAUAUUAAAGUUGUUGCAGUUAAAAAGCUCGUAGUUGAAUUUCGGGGUUAGUAGGUUGGUCGUGCCACUGGUACGUACUGGCCUUACUGAUUCCUCCUUCUUGAAGAACCGUAAUGCCAUUAAUUUGGUGUUGCGGGGAAACAGGACUGUUACUUUGAAAAAAUUAGAGUGUUUAAAGCAGGCUAUUGCCUGAAUACAUUAGCAUGGAAUAAUGAAAUAGGACGUUGAUCCUAUUUUUUUGGUUUCUAGGAUUGACGUAAUGAUUAAUAGGGAUAGUUGGGGGCAUUAGUAUUCAAUUGUCAGAGGUGAAAUUCUUGGAUUUAUUGAAGACUAACUACUGCGAAAGCAUUUGCCAAGGAUGUUUUCAUUAAUCAAGAACGAAAGUUAGGGGAUCGAAGACGAUCAGAUACCGUCGUAGUCUUAACCAUAAACUAUGCCGACUAGGGAUCGGAUGAUGUUAAUUUUUUAAUGACUCAUUCGGCGCCUUACG